AACCCGUGUGGGGGAGCCGUAGCGAAAGCGAGUCCGAAGAGGGCGUUUGAGUAGCGUGUUCAAGACCCGAAGCGGAGUGAUCUAGCCAUGGGCAGGGUGAAGCGCGGGUAAGACCGUGUGGAGGCCCGAACCCACCAGGGUUGAAAACCUGGGGGAUGACCUGUGGUUAGGGGUGAAAGGCCAAUCAAACUCCGUGAUAGCUGGUUCUCCCCGAAAUGCAUUUAGGUGCAGCGUCGUGUGUUUCUUGCCGGAGGUAGAGCACUGGAUAGGCGAUGGGCCCUACCGGGUUACUGACCUUAGCCAAACUCCGAAUGCCGGUAAGUGAGAGCGCGGCAGUGAGACUGUGGGGGAUAAGCUCCAUGGUCGAGAGGGAAACAGCCCAGAGCAUCGACUAAGGCCCCUAAGCGUGUGCUAAGUGGGAAAGGAUGUGGAGUCGCAGAGACAACCAGGAGGUUGGCUUAGAAGCAGCCAUCCUUGAAAGAGUGCGUAAUAGCUCACUGGUCAAGUGAUUCCGCGCCGAUAAUGUAGCGGGGCUCAAGUACACCGCCGAAGUCGUGUCACUCAUACAAUAGCCCUAACGGGUGUGUGGGUGGGUAGGGGAGCGUCGUGUGCCGGGUGAAGCAGCCGUGGAAGCGAGUUGUGGACGGUUCACGAGUGAGAAUGCAGGCAUGAGUAGCGAUACAUGCGUGGGAAACGUGUGCGCCGAUUGACUAAGGGUUCCUGGGUCAAGCUGAUCUGCCCAGGGUAAGUCGGGACCUAAGGCGAGGCCGACAGGCGUAGUCGAUGGAGAACCGGUUGAUAUUCCGGUACCCGCUAUGCAGCGUCAAACAUCGAAUCAGGUGAUGCUAAGUCCGUGAAGCCCCCUGGUCUCUUCGGAGUCCGGGUGUGGUGGAGCCGACGGUCCGAGCUUGUAGUAGGUGAGUGAUGGGGUGACGCAGUGAGGUAGUCCAGCCCGGGCGAUGGUUGUCCCGGGGUAAGGGUGUAGCCCGAGGAGUAGGGAAAUCCGUUCCUCGUUACAGGGGUGAGACCUGAUGCCGAGCCGUUUGUGGUGAAGUGGAUGAUCCUGUGCUGUCGAGAAAAGCCUCUAGCGAGUUGUGUGGCGGCCCGUACCCUAAACCGACUCAGGUGGUCUGGUAGAGAAUACCGAGGCGUUCGGGUGAACUAUGGUUAAGGAACUCGGCAAAAUGCCCCCGUAACUUCGGGAGAAGGGGGGCCAUGUCUGGUGAGGGCACGUGCUGUCUGAGCUGGGUGUGGCCGCAGAGACCAGCGAGAAGCGACUGUUUACUAAAAACACAGGUCCGUGCGAAGCCGUAAGGCGAGGUAUACGGACUGACGCCUGCCCGGUGCUGGAACGUUAAGGGGACCGGUUAGUCACAUUUCGGUGUGGUGAAGCUGAGAACUUAAGCGCCAGUAAACGGCGGUGGUAACUAUAACCAUCCUAAGGUAGCGAAAUUCCUUGUCGGGUAAGUUCCGACCUGCACGAAUGGCGUAACGACUUCUUGACUGUCUCAACCAUAGGCCCGGUGAAAUUGCACUACGAGUAAAGAUGCUCGUUUCGCGCAGCAGGACGGAAAGACCCCGGGACCUUUACUACAGCUUGAUAUUGGUGUUCGGUUCGGCUUGUGUAGGAUAGGUGGGAGACUGUGAUGCGGACACGCCAGUGUUCGUGGAGUCGUUGUUGAAAUACCACUCUGGUCGUGCUGGAUGUCUAACCUGGGUCCGUGAUCCGGAUCGGGGACAGUGUCUGGUGGGUAGUUUAACUGGGGCGGUUGCCUCCUAAAAUGUAACGGAGGCGCCCAAAGGUUCCCUCAGCCUGGUUGGUCAUCAGGUGGUGAGUGUAAGUGCACAAGGGAGCUUGACUGUGAGACUGACGGGUCGAGCAGGGACGAAAGUCGGGACUAGUGAUCCGGCGGUGGCUUGUGGAAGCGCCGUCGCUCAACGGAUAAAAGGUACCCCGGGGAUAACAGGCUGAUCUUCCCCAAGAGUCCAUAUCGACGGGAUGGUUUGGC
Molecule: ribosomal RNA, 2009 nt
Filed under: Streptomyces qinglanensis
Lineage: Bacteria; Bacillati; Actinomycetota; Actinomycetes; Kitasatosporales; Streptomycetaceae
Description: bacterial LSU rRNA
Rfam family: Bacterial large subunit ribosomal RNA
Source: RNAcentral